This 754-nucleotide ribosomal RNA is filed under the name uncultured Bacillus sp. Its description in RNAcentral is "bacterial SSU rRNA". It matches the Rfam family "Bacterial small subunit ribosomal RNA", at positions 31 to 761 of the family's 1533-position model. Lineage: Bacteria; Bacillati; Bacillota; Bacilli; Caryophanales; Bacillaceae. The record is from RNAcentral.
GAACGCUGGCGGCGUGCCUAAUACAUGCAAGUCGAGCGAAUGGAUUGAGAGCUUGCUCUUAUGAAGUUAGCGGCGGACGGGUGAGUAACACGUGGGUAACCUGCCCAUAAGACUGGGAUAACUCCGGGAAACCGGGGCUAAUACCGGAUAACAUUUUGAACUGCAUGGUUCGAAAUUGAAAGGCGGCUUCGGCUGUCACUUAUGGAUGGACCCGCGUCGCAUUAGCUAGUUGGUGAGGUAACGGCUCACCAAGGCAACGAUGCGUAGCCGACCUGAGAGGGUGAUCGGCCACACUGGGACUGAGACACGGCCCAGACUCCUACGGGAGGCAGCAGUAGGGAAUUUUCCGCAAUGGACGAAAGUCUGACGGAGCAACGCCGCGUGAGUGAUGAAGGCUUUCGGGUCGUAAAACUCUGUUGUUAGGGAAGAACAAGUGCUAGUUGAAUAAGCUGGCACCUUGACGGUACCUAACCAGAAAGCCACGGCUAACUACGUGCCAGCAGCCGCGGUAAUACGUAGGUGGCAAGCGUUAUCCGGAAUUAUUGGGGCGUAAAGCGCGCGCAGGUUGGUUUCUUAAGUCUGGAUGGUGAAAGCCCACGGCUCAACCGUGGAGGGUCAUUGGAAACUGGGGAGACUUGAGUGCAGAAGAGGAAAGUGGAAAUUCCAUGUGUAGCGGUAAAUGCGUAGAGAUAUGGAGGAACACCAGUGGCGAAGGCGACUUUCUGGGCUGUAACUGACACUGAGCGCGAAAGCG